Molecule: transfer RNA, 67 nt
Filed under: Cistopus chinensis
Lineage: Eukaryota; Metazoa; Mollusca; Cephalopoda; Octopoda; Octopodidae
Description: tRNA-His
Source: RNAcentral
AGUAAAAUUAGUUUAUAGUAAAAUACUAGGUUGUGGGCUUAGAGAAGAAGAAUAAUUUAUUUUACUA